UGAUUGUCCGAACGCAAUUCUUG
RNAcentral lists this microRNA (23 nucleotides) under Lytechinus variegatus (green sea urchin). RNAcentral's name for it is "lva-miR-219-5p". Its record names the gene lva-miR-219-5p. The record is from miRBase by way of RNAcentral. Lineage: Eukaryota; Metazoa; Echinodermata; Echinoidea; Temnopleuroida; Toxopneustidae. RNAcentral also lists the same sequence under 2 other names.